This 425-nucleotide ribosomal RNA is filed under the name uncultured prokaryote. RNAcentral describes it as "bacterial SSU rRNA". It matches the Rfam family "Bacterial small subunit ribosomal RNA", at positions 355 to 774 of the family's 1533-position model. The record is from RNAcentral.
UGGGGAAUCAUGGUCAAUGGGCGAAAGCCUGAACCUGCGACGCCGCGUGAGUGAUGAAGGUCGUAAGAUCGUAAAACUCUUUUCAGGGAUCUUAAAGCCUGUCUGUCAACAACAGGCAGGUCUGACUCUCCCUGGAAGAAGCCCCAGCCAACUACGUGCCAGCAGCUGCGGUAAUACGUAGGGGGCGAGCGUUAUUCGGAAUUACUGGGUGUAAAGGGUAUGUAGGCGGCCCUUCAAGUCGCGUGUCAAAGUCCAGUGCUCAACGCUGGGUGUGCACGCGAUACUGACGGGCUUGAGGGCUGGAGAGGUGAGCGGAAUUCCCGGUGUAGAGGUGAAAUUCGUAGAGAUCGGGAGGAAUAUCAGUGGCGAAGGCGCCCAUCUGGACGGUAACUGACGCUGAGACGCGAAAGCGUGGGGAGCAAACA